Molecule: RNase P RNA, 398 nt
Filed under: Treponema sp.
Lineage: Bacteria; Pseudomonadati; Spirochaetota; Spirochaetia; Treponematales; Treponemataceae
Description: RNase P RNA component class A
Rfam family: Bacterial RNase P class A
About the family: Ribonuclease P (RNase P) is a ubiquitous endoribonuclease, found in archaea, bacteria and eukarya as well as chloroplasts and mitochondria.
Source: RNAcentral
GCGAUGAACCAGGCCGCCGCGAUGCGAUGGACAUGUCCAUGUGCAUUGAGGAAAGUCCGGGCUCCAUAGGGCGUGACGCCGGGUAACUCCCGGGCGGGUAAAACCCGACAGCAAGCGCAACAGAAAGUAAACCGCCUGCCGAUUUAUUGGCAGGUAAGGGUGAAACGGCGUGGUAAGAGCACACCGCGGGUUUGGCGACAAACUCGGCGCGGCAAGCCUCGUCAGGAGCAAAGUUAAACAGCGGCGCAUAUGCGAGGCGUAUUUAAUGCUUCGCCCGAACUGCCCGUUCAGCCGCGGGUAAACUGCGAAGACGUUGUCUGUGAAGAUGACGGUAAGAUAGAUGGCGGCCUAACGUUCAUAAGAACGUUACAGAACCCGGCUUAUGGUUCAUCGCUUCU